This 266-nucleotide ribosomal RNA is filed under the name uncultured archaeon. RNAcentral's name for it is "partial 16S ribosomal RNA". It matches the Rfam family "Archaeal small subunit ribosomal RNA", at positions 717 to 982 of the family's 1478-position model. The record is from RNAcentral.
ACACGACUACAUUAGAUACCCCUGUAGUCCUAGGCGUAAAUGAUGCGAGUUAAGUGGUGGGGGCAUCUACGAGAUGGCCCUGUGCCGUAGGGAAGCCGUGAAGCGAGCCACCUGGGAAGUACGGCCGCAAGGCUGAAACUUAAAGGAAUUGGCGGGGGAGCACCACAACGGGUGGAGCUUGCGGUUUAAUUGGAUUCAACGCCGGACAACUCACCAGGAGCGACGGUUACAUGAAGGCCAGGCUGAUGACCUUGCCUGAUUUUCCG